Molecule: non-coding RNA, 148 nt
Organism: Gorilla gorilla gorilla (western lowland gorilla)
Lineage: Eukaryota; Metazoa; Chordata; Mammalia; Primates; Hominidae
Rfam family: Metazoan signal recognition particle RNA
About the family: The signal recognition particle (SRP) is a universally conserved ribonucleoprotein. It is involved in the co-translational targeting of proteins to membranes.
Source: Rfam
GCUGGGCAUGGUGGCGCAUGCCUGUAAUCCCAGCUACCCGGGAGGCUGAGGCAGGAGAAUCACUUGAAUCCAGGAGGUGUAGGCUGCAGUGAGCCGAGAUCACGCCACUGCACUCCAGCCUGGGCGACAAAGCAAGACUCGGUCUCAA